CCACCAGAUCCUAAUGCCCAGAAAUCAGGGCAAAUCCAGAGACCAGGGAAGGUGAAACCUGUGUGGAAAUGGCAAAUCUAUCUGAUGAGAAACAGAUGUACAAGACUCUCUUGUGUUUUUGUGUGAAUCACUGCAGCAGAGGCAGAAACUGAACUUGAAUUACCUACAACCUCCAUCACCUCUACAUGAACAGCUUUCUGAAAAAGCAUGGUCGACAUGGGACACCUUCUUGAGAAAUAAACAGAAAGGAGCAAUUUAUACUGUAAUCCUCUUAAAAAGCAGUACACAACACCCACCUCAAAUCCCAAAACCAAACCCCAAGAACAAAACAGCACAUGCUGUAUUUUUAGAGAACUUUAGUCAGGCGGGGCAGUUUCUCUGUCUCUCCUUGCUCAGUUCAUGACAGCGAUCACUGCCUGCUAAUCAGUCUUAUUUGGAGGAUUUACUCCUUGUUAUGUAAUUCCAGAUAUUUCUUGCAGUACUGAGCUUUUACUGUAUUUAGAUGGGUAAGAAAGGAAGAAUGACUCUACAGAAGGGGUUUCAGAUGCUUUAUUUUUACAGCCGAACACAUAGUUUUCUGAAGUGUUUGGCAUUAAGGGUGCAAUGUAUUAAAAUGAUUGAUUGAUUGCAUUUUAAAAAUAGAAGUACUGUUCUGAUACUGGGAUUAACUAUUAUUAUUAAGAUAUGGCAGAAUUUAAAACAGCUUUGAAUUUGCACCCUCCUGUGAAUGUAAAGUGCCCUUCCCCAUCCCCCUUGCCCACGUUACACACAAACCAGAGUAUUUCAUAGAGCAACAGAGCAAAUGCCUCUCACUUUUCUCCUCACAUGGCCAAUACUAGGACUACAGGAACAACUCCACAGUGCCCCUUCAAUUUCUCUAACGCAUUUUUAGUUUUCUUUCAGCAUAUUUGUAAGCUAUCCUGAUGCCUUUUUUUCCCUGAACAAUGUUAUGUGUUGCUCUAUGAGAGAAGCUUAAUUACAGCUAUUUUGAAGGUUCUUAUUUUUAAAUAUCCUGUACUUUUUUUAUCAAAUCUUGGUUAUUAAAGGGGCUGCAAAUAAUAUUUGGAAUAAAUGACUGUGCUGGA
Molecule: long non-coding RNA, 1085 nt
Organism: Parus major (Great Tit)
Lineage: Eukaryota; Metazoa; Chordata; Aves; Passeriformes; Paridae
Exons: 2
Source: RefSeq, a predicted model, not a curated record